RNAcentral lists this ribosomal RNA (502 nucleotides) under uncultured bacterium. Its description in RNAcentral is "partial 16S ribosomal RNA". It matches the Rfam family "Bacterial small subunit ribosomal RNA", at positions 30 to 523 of the family's 1533-position model. The record is from RNAcentral.
AUUGAACGCUGGCGGCAUGCCUUACACAUGCAAGUCGAACGGCAGCAUGGGUGCUUGCACCUGAUGGCGAGUGGCGAACGGGUGAGUAAUGCAUCGGAACGUACCCGGAAGUGGGGGAUAACGUAGCGAAAGUUACGCUAAUACCGCAUAUUCUGUGAGCAGGAAAGAGGGGGAUCGCAAGACCUCUCGCUUUCGGAGCGGCCGAUGUCGGAUUAGCUAGUUGGCGGGGUAAAGGCCCACCAAGGCGACGAUCCGUAGCGGGUCUGAGAGGAUGAUCCGCCACACUGGGACUGAGACACGGCCCAGACUCCUACGGGAGGCAGCAGUGGGGAAUUUUGGACAAUGGGCGCAAGCCUGAUCCAGCCAUGCCGCGUGAGUGAAGAAGGCCUUCGGGUUGUAAAGCUCUUUCGGCCGGGAAGAAAUCGCACAGGUUAAUACCCUGUGUGGACGACGGUACCGGAAUAAGAAGCACCGGCUAACUACGUGCCAGCAGCCGCUGUAA